RNAcentral lists this transfer RNA (61 nucleotides) under Fukomys damarensis (Damara mole-rat). It matches the Rfam family "tRNA", at positions 6 to 65 of the family's 71-position model. Rfam says of the family: Transfer RNA (tRNA) molecules are approximately 80 nucleotides in length. Their secondary structure includes four short double-helical elements and three loops (D, anti-codon, and T loops). The record is from Rfam by way of RNAcentral. Lineage: Eukaryota; Metazoa; Chordata; Mammalia; Rodentia; Bathyergidae.
UGUAGCUCAGUGGUACAGCAUCUGCCUAGCAUGCAUGAGGCCCUGGGUUCAAUCUCCAGCA